Molecule: ribosomal RNA, 274 nt
Filed under: Bacillus cereus
Lineage: Bacteria; Bacillati; Bacillota; Bacilli; Caryophanales; Bacillaceae
Description: partial 16S ribosomal RNA
Rfam family: Bacterial small subunit ribosomal RNA
Source: RNAcentral
AUUAUUGGGCGUAAAGCGCGCGCAGGUGGUUUCUUAAGUCUGAUGUGAAAGCCCACGGCUCAACCGUGGAGGGUCAUUGGAAACUGGGAGACUUGAGUGCAGAAGAGGAAAGUGGAAUUCCAUGUGUAGCGGUGAAAUGCGUAGAGAUAUGGAGGAACACCAGUGGCGAAGGCGACUUUCUGGUCUGUAACUGACACUGAGGCGCGAAAGCGUGGGGAGCCAACAGGAUUACCUCCCCUGGUCCUCCCCGCCGUCAACGAUGACUGCUAAGUGU